RNAcentral lists this unclassified non-coding RNA (248 nucleotides) under Alternaria sp. RNAcentral's name for it is "partial contains 5.8S ribosomal RNA, internal transcribed spacer 2, and large subunit ribosomal RNA". The record is from RNAcentral. Lineage: Eukaryota; Fungi; Ascomycota; Dothideomycetes; Pleosporales; Pleosporaceae.
CGCACAUUGCGCCCCUUGGUAUUCCAUGGGGCAUGCCUGUUCGAGCGUCAUUUGUACCCUCAAGCUUUGCUUGGUGUUGGGCGUUUUGUCUUUUUUAGUGAUUAGACUCGCCUUAAAGUAAUUGGCAGCCAGUGUUUUUUGGUAGUAAGCGCAGCACAUUUUGCGUCUUAGUCCUUAAACAGCGGCAACCAUAAAGCCUCUUUCUCACUUUUGACCUCGGAUCAGGUAGGGAUACCCGCUGAACUUAA